Molecule: ribosomal RNA, 299 nt
Filed under: Desmarestia latifrons
Lineage: Eukaryota; Phaeophyceae; Desmarestiales; Desmarestiaceae
Description: nuclear rRNA
Source: RNAcentral
GACACCACUCGCCCGUCUCUCUUCUUAGGAAGGGCGUCGGGCGGACUCUGCGUGUUCCGGAGCUCUUCGACGCCUUCGGGUGUCGGGGAAGCGCUCCGAGUGCACCGAAUCUCGUGAANNNNNCCUCUCUUCUGUCUGUGGCCUAGGUUACGCAGAGUUGUUGACGGCGCUCGCACCCGGUCAGACGGGUUCGGCGACUCUCGGCUCGAUACGCGUGGCKUAGCGKCCCUUUWGGUGAGGGGUKUACUGUUUUUCCGGUGGGAAAUUUAUUUCCCUCCGUGUUUUACUACUUUCGUUCG